RNAcentral lists this long non-coding RNA (24885 nucleotides) under Coffea arabica (coffee). RNAcentral's name for it is "long non-coding RNA (CARA_LNC002140)". The record is from RNAcentral. Lineage: Eukaryota; Viridiplantae; Streptophyta; Magnoliopsida; Gentianales; Rubiaceae.
UGAGAGGCAGUCUAAGUGCAAUAUGUUUUCAGAGUUUUAUGUGAUGAAGUUAAUCUCAUAUAAGUGGAAGAAAGUCUCCACUGAAUUGUGGUUAUCUUAGUUAGUGGUUUGUUUCUUGUCUAAGUGCUAUUGAAUUGUGCUUGCUGUACUUUUUUUUUUUUUUUUUGAGGUUACUGGUUGAACCAAAGAGAGAUGCUUUAUGAAAAAUAUGCGUUGGCAAACGUUUCUAUUUUAAUUAGCAAAAUGAUCUGCUGCCUAUUCUUUGCCUUUUUAUCAGCAUGCCAACUGAUUUCUGUUUUGUGUUCAUCCCCAUCAGGUGUUCACCCACGUCUUCUACCUUCAACUUGAGGAGGAUGUCAAUAUAGUUAUUUUUGCUCUUAAUACAGAGGCUGGCUUUGAGGAUGAUUGUUUUCAUCAAGCUCCCGACAAACUUUCCAGAUUAUUGAAGCUAGAACAAGGGUUGCGAGACCAGAUCUUAGACGAUGCUAGAAAAAUAAAGCGUAUGAGGUGACUGGAUGUAGAUAUAUCGACUACUGCAGAGCAAAAGUAUACUAUAGAAUUCAAAUCAGUGCAUUUGUGGUUCUCAUUGGGUAUUUUCCCAAGGAAAUAUGAGCUCAAUCUGUCACAACCCCAAUUGGCUUUGGCAGCUGUAGCUACAUAAGCGAAGCAAGUUUCAUGGUGGUCCUCCCAGCUCCCAGCUUUGCUUAGACUGCUUUUCUUCAUGCAAAUCAACGUUAAAUGUGCUGUUAUGUCAUGAGGGCGACAAAGGGUGCCAAAUUGGUUUACAUUAGGCUGUAUCGGCUUGUAAUCACAAAGUUAUAGCUGCCUUUUUCUUUUAAAGGGCGUAUUUUCCACCGCCAUACGCAGCUCUAUGAUUGUUAAUUCUUGAAGACAUAGAUGGCAAAUGGCCUGUACGGCUGGCUGGAUACUGCCAUUGGUUUCUGAUUAAAUUGUAAUAGGCAUGAUAAAAUACCUGGUUGUUUGUCUAAAUUUACAUCAUCCUCUUCUUUCUAUCAUCAGCAGAGUUGAUUAUACUUUGUGCUAAAUCAUGUCCUCCUCCUGAAGUGCGAGUCAUUUGUGGUGAUUCAUAAACCCAAACAUUUCAUCGCUCGACUCUCCUACAAAAGAUCAUAAUCAAGCAAAACAGGUUCAUUUUUCACACUAUAAUUGUUAUGACCGAUGAUGGUGUAUAUAACUCUGCAAUGGUUACUGGUUGUUUGCUUUGAAGUUAGCCUGACCGUUGAGAAUUAAUCCGUUUUUUAGCAAGAAUGAAGUAAGAUUCCUGCACCCAUUACAGAAUGCUGUAGAGUAGGUUGGGAGAUUGCAGUUUUGUCAGUACACUGCCGAACCAGUUUUCUAUGCCUUUGUAUGCACAAAAGCAUAAUUAGUAAUUUUCUCUAAGCAUCAAGAAAAUCAUUAAGUACUUGGUGGAUGUAGUUUAACAGCGGAAGUAGAGCGUAAGUUGGAGGGCUCGAAGCAAAAUUUAGCAUUCGUCUUUGAAUUGUUGGUUUGCUGUGGUUGAGGUUUAAUUAUGUAAGAAAUCAUCACUACUUAUCAUUAAAUUCCAAAAAUGAGUGUCAGAAUUGCCAAGCCUUCUUAGGCUUGGAGGUGCGGGAGAUCAAAGGUUCGAACCUUGCCUUCCACAAAAUUUGUCAUAAUAUGUGACGGUUUUCAUUGAUCAGUUUCGAUGGAGUUUCUACUCAGAUAGAGCCCAUCGCUUCGAAUGCUUUGACUCAAAAGGUGGGAUGAAGGCGCAAAAUAAACAUGGCUUCAAAAUCUCCUAAUAAUGGCAUCAUCUGUUGAUGGCAUGAAGCUGUGCCUUCGCAUGCGCUACUAAAAGGCGUGAAACAUAUGUUCGCGACGAAAACGUAGGCUUUAAGCUCUCUCUGUUAAAUUAAAUGCGUGCCUUCAAAUGCACAAAACUGCGCCUUUUCUAACCUGCCUAUAGAAGGCGUGACGGUAGUGCAUUGUCCUUGUCCCAAAUUCAGCCAAAAAAACCUAACAUUUUCCCCUCAAAGAUGGGCCCUAUGCUUUAGGAGGAGAUAAAACACAUAUAAGGUUUGAUAUCCUCAGUAUAGCUUUCAGUCAAUGUUAGGUGCAAUGAGAUGGAUAUUAUAUUUUGACAAAAAAAAAAAAAAAGAGAUGGAUAUUAUAUCACUAUCCCCUCUACAUCCUUUGGAAGAUGGUACUAUUGGUAUUACGUAACUGAUUACUUAUUUCUAGCUAAACAUGCCUUAAGUCGAAAGUUAAAAUCAAGUUCAUUUUCUUUGGCCCACUACAGAAAAAUAUAGGUCACUCAUUUUGACCUGCAUUUGUUUGUCAAAUGACCUCUUAAAUUUGCGGUCAUUGUUUUAGAGAUAGUCUGAAGGUAUAUAUCAAUUCCUAAUCCGAGUAUAAGUGGUCCUGCAUUUCCCAUGCUCUCAUUUUUUUUUUUUUUAAUUUCUAGCAGGGGAGAGGUUGGAUUUAAGAAGUGAGGGAUGGAGAAGGGGGAUUCGAACCUAGGGCAUCUAAGUCCUAAGACGUCAAAUUUAACUAUUAGAUCAAGGUCUCAUUGGUGCACUGGUGGGUAUCAAAUCCAACAAAGUAAAAAUACCUACUCAACAAAAAUAUAAGUUUGUGAAUAAUGGUGAGCACGGUCGUAUCUAUAGGGAUUGGUGAAUUUAUUUCCUUUGCAAUUUCAAGAAUUAAAAUGAAGGGUUCUGGAGAAAUUAAACCACGCAAUAACUAUAAAAGAAAUUAAUAAUGAAAAAUUAAGUAAAACUAAAUCAAUGAAAACAAACCUUUUAGUCAAAGGAUUAAUCUUGGCUUUUGAUUCAAUCAAUAGAUCAUCGAUGCAAAAAUCAAUUUAUAUAUUCACAAAUCAAUUGGUUAUGGUCAUCAACAUUCCUUGCCUUUUCUUAUUUUCUCGGUAAUUAAAACAAACUCUUUAGUUACUUCUCUUGUGAAUAGACAACUCUAAAUAAACUCUUAGAAUUUAAUAUACCGACAACAUUCACCAAUACUAACUAACAAACUCACAAGUUUGGUUCAUUUAGAUUAGAUUAUGCACUCUCUUGACACGACCUCAAUUAUGCUAGUCACCACAAAUAUUAAAAUUAUCAAACAAUUACGGAUUUGACGUGUUAAUUGGCAGUAGAUUAUCUAGUUAAUUAAAUAUCGAGAGCCCUUCAUAUCUAGUCAAGCAACAUAACCAUCAACAAUUAAUUCAAGAAGUAUACAAAUACUCAUGAAUAUAUAAAACAGUAAAAACAAAUUAGAUUUCACAAUUAUUGCUGAACUUAAAAGCCUUGAUUAUCUAGAAAAACACCUUAGCCACUCCUCCUGGAGAAAGUCCCCAAGAAAAAUUAAAACUAGAGUUUGUUUUCUUGAGAGAAAAAUAAUAUAGAAGAAGAAAAGUUGAAUUGUCAAGAGAUAUUGAUCUCUCCUUGUUCGCCUAUAUUUAUUCUAUUCUAAUUGUCUCUCAGAUAAUUUACUCAAAAGAAGAAAUAUCUCUUAUCAACCACCAAACAAAGAUAAAUAGGAUGGUUGUUGAAUGAGUAUUAAUAUCAGAAAUAAAGCACAUGUCCAAACUCCCAAAGGCGAAAAGUCGAUGAUUCAAAUAGACAGGAGAAUUAAUUGUGGCCUUCACAAGAUAAAACAAUUUCACAAGUUUGGCCAACACGCCUAGGAUGGGUCCUUUCUUAACAAGUCUUCCAGACUCCCUUUUCUGAGCUUCUUUUAAUCAUGAGGAAGAAUCAAUAAAAUAACACAAUAAGUUGACAAAAUUACAACAGGAAUUUCACAAAUAAAAGAUCUAUUAAAUUCACUGUCAAUGCAUUAGAAAAAAUGUUUGCUCAUAUUAUUUAAGAUUAUUUGGAUAAAAUCGAUCGUUUUUGGUUAAAUUUAAUGGUAAAAUGUCCUGUUAUGCUUUAUCUAAAUCCUUGCCAAAAUUUUGAACAAUUAUAUUCAAGGUAUGUUAAUGUUCAGGGUUCAAAAAUUACAGUCGGUUUUACUUGAGUAACAUAAGGUGUUCCACGGAUGUGUAUUAAGCAUUCGAUAACGCACUUAAAAUUCACGUAACCUAUCAUGUACAUAUACACAUACUAAUAAUUAUUAUCUUUCCUUGUAUUUAUAUACUUUUUUCUAUUUAAUCUUACCUACCAUUUUUUAUACACCCUCCAUCCUACUUUGAUAGUCCUAUUUUCCUUUCUCGUCCGUCCCAAAUUGUAAUCCACUUUCCAAUUGAAGAAUGUAAUUGUAUUUUAAUUUUUCUAAAAUACCCUUAUUCAGUGUAAGUUAUUGUUACUAUAAACUUACUCCAUUUAAUGAGAGUUGAUUCUUUUUUUACCAUCAAUUCAAGUUUUCAUAAAGUUGUACUCUAAUUAUUGUGAGGGUAUUUUAAGAAAAUAGCUACGUAAAUUGAUUGUUCCAACAAAGUUAACUACUUUUUCUUAAACUGUGUGGAAAAAAAAAUCAGGACUAUCAAAGUGGGAUGGAGGGAGUAUUUAUUUACUUUCCUUGAUUAAUCUUACCUUUCCAAUGCAAUUAAUAUUAAGAAAACAUAUAAAGAUGGGCAGUUUAAAGGAACAGUUCAAUUCAACGCAGGUACACAAAAGUACCAAAAAUCAAGCAGCUGAAUUUAAACUAUAUCCCAAUUAAUAAUUGGACCAAUUAUUCAAACAUUAUUAAUUCCAUUAAAUGCUCUGCAAACACCUGUAUACUCUCAUUAUCAAGACGUAUAUAUUGUUAAAUGGCACAACAUUAUUGUUUCUAGCAUUAAAUGCUCCACCAACACCAGUGAAACAGUAGAAAUGUGAUUUGUGGCAUAUAAACCAUUGUACAUUAGAAAAAUGGAAUGUUUGUACCGUGUUUUAAGUAGUUAAUUUUCCCAAUUAAAUAAUUAAACAGUCAACCAGAAUAAUUAGCAUUAGCAACAACAAAUAUGUCUUUUAUUUGUUCGAUUUUUAGCAUCGUAGUCUCAUGUCAUUACAGCAUAAAUAACUAAUACAACUUAAGGGCCUGAACGGUUGUCAGAACAUGUCAAUUAACAAUCUAAAUGAGUUAGAAAUUAUAUUUAAACGUAUAAAUACUUUAGUGAAAAUAAAUUUUCAGAUAACUAUACUAUAUAAAACACAAGUUAUAGUUUCUUAGUCACAAAAAAAGAAAAAAGUCAAAACUAUGUUUAUUUAUUUCUCAUAACUACCUUUCAAUCAAAAUGAUACAAGUGUUUUCUUUACAUUCAAGGAUAAAAGAAAAAAAAAUUCAAAUAAUCAUUUCAUAAAUCUACUAUGAAUCCACAAUCUUGUUUUCAUACUCUAUUAUAGAUUUUGAUUAUGAAUAAUGAGUUUUUGAGAUAUUCUCGUUUGCUUUUGUAUUUAGAUUAUAGAUUUUUUUAUAACAAAAAAAAAUCUAAAAUCCAUAAUCACCCAAACAGUAGCUUUUGCUGAUUCUCAUUAUUUUUUAUAAUCACUUUUCGUAAUCAGAUUUUGUAAAAUGUAAAAGCAAAUGAGAACAAGGCUAUUAAUCAGAUUUUGUACAGCAAGACUAUUAAAAACACAACUCACUAAAAAAAUAAUUAAUGUUCACAUGUUGUUAAUGUUAGUUUACAACCUGUGACUUUUAUUGUACAUUGCCGGUUGGCGGCGGUUUCCCCUCUCCUCCAAAUCAAAGUUACCGGUUGAGAGCACGUGGAGUCAGUCAACUAGGCACGUGUCGUAUGUUAAAAGAGAGGCUUUCAAUGUCAAAUGUAACCGGUGGCGCCAGUCUACCGGUCUCCCUCAAACACCCAACUCUUUACUCCUCUUCUGAGCUGGUCUUUGUUGGCACUGGAACUAAAUCAAGACAAAAGCUUUUCACUGAGCCAUCAUCCCAACUGAAAUUCAGUGAAAAAAAGCUCUGUUUUUUCUUGUGGGUUCUGCUCAAAUCAGCCUAAAUUUCUUGAUUGAAGGCUUCGAAGGGUGAAUUUUGGAAAAUGGCUGUGAGUUUUACUCUACUACUAUCUUUCUUGAUCUAUAUCUUGUGUUUCAUAAUAAUGUGAAUUCAAAUGAUUUUUUUCCUUUUUUCUUUUGUGGGUUUUUCUAUGAGUAGUUUAUGGAACAAUAUUAUUUUUGUUGCGGGUUAGAUUUUGUUGUUUAAUGUGGAUUGGGAAGUGAAUCCGGUGUUAUUUGAGUUGGAUUUGCUACGUGGUAGUGAUCAUUUUGGUGGGAUUUUUCUGUAGCAUAUAUAUCAUUAAGGAAAUUGUGGAUUCAAUGAUUAGAUGGCCUUUUUACGUAUUUGAUUUAGGCUCUUGAUUUUGAAGGUUGCACCAUUGGAUUAAUCUAUUUUCAGGAAUUUAUUUUGAUCUUUUGGCAUUAUUCCGUAUUUUUCUUUUGAAGAGGGGGAUAUGUAUGAGUAGUGAGGGGAAAAACAAAGCCAUGAAUACCAUCUGCCUUUGAAGUGGCUGUAUUAGCAGGAUGUAAAUCUUUGGUGUUUGUGGCUAAAUAGAGAUGCUAGUAGUACGUCACAAGAAAUUCUGGACUUCUCCAGAUUUACCAUAGUAUACCCUAAUUUUUUUAUUUUGGAUUGUAUUAAGCCAACUGCGUUGCGUAAUUCGUUUCUCUUAUUCUAAAGGCAGCUAGUGCCUUUUGUUUUCAUUUGCAGUGAAUCUGAUUUUUCUGUGUUGUAAAGUAUCAUGUUGUUGUUAAAGUCGCCCCGUACCUUCAAGUAGAAAUAACUGUCUUUUUCAUGCUUGCCAGUGCUAUACUUGAGUUAUGAACUUUACGGGUGUAAACAGUAAUUGUUAAUUUAAAUCAAUUCUGAAUCAAGUUUGAAACUUUAAAUAUGUUAUUUCUAAAAGAUGACAUUUUCUAUGGCUGUGAAUUACUUGUCUAUUCAUAUAGUUAUCUGAAGCCCUUGCCUUGUUUUCUUGUUAAGCUUAGCAAAUAAGAUCAGGUCCUGUGAUGACAUUGCCUUAUUUUGUUGAUAUUUUUCUCUCUGGAUUUGGAAUGCAUAAUCAUUUAGUUUGUACUUCUACUUUUGAGCUUUUUGGCUUAAGUGGCCAUACUCACAAAAGUAACCAUCUUGUUAGGCACUUCUUUUCUACAUUGGUUGCAAAGGAUAAUGGAAUAUUUUACCUUUAAGCAGAAAAGAUCCCUUCUGCUUUCUGUGUUCCCCCAUUUUGUUUUUGUCUCCUGAAUAAUCAAUGUCCUUUUCAAAGUCUUGGCGAACAGUAAUUAACAUCCCCAAGUUCCCCACCUCACUGACAUCUUCAGAAACAUAUCUAAAGCACAAAACCUUGUUGGACUCUUCAAGCAUUCUUGAGCUUCAAAACUGAUACCUUAAACAUCAAUUGGGAUAGACUCGUAUAUGAUAUUUCUUGUGUUUAUGUCUUGCAGACUGAGAAUCUUAGUUCAAGUGUCCAGCCAGGUUUAUCUAUUGACUUGCUAACUAAACUGGAUUUAUUGAUUGGACUCUAGGGUUCUUUUCAUUUUAUUUUUGUUGCUAAGUGUUGAGGGAUUAUCAUAUAAAAAUUGAGUUUGUGGAGAAUGCUAAUGAAAUUUUCUGAGCUGUAGCAUUUUGUGUGAGUGGUUCAGGUCGCAAUUACUUGCUAGUUCACCUUUGUUUUGUUACAUGGAUAUGUGUUAUGAGGUGUUAAAGCUGGGUAUCGGAUAAUCAUUUCUUUGAAUAAAGAUGUCACACAUAAGAGCUGUGGAGUUGAUCCCACAGCAAUAGGUAUCGGAUAAUCAUUUCUUUGAAUAAAGUUAUCAAACAGGAUAAUCAUUUCUUUGAAUAAAGUUAUCAAACAUAAAAGCUGUGGUGUUGAUCCCACAGCAAUCAAUGGUACUCUUGUUGGGAUGUUAGUGAGGUAGGGUUACAAGCUUGAAUGAUAACACAUUAGCUUUCAUAACAAGCCUGGCAAGCAUUGAGUUGAGGAUAACACGUUAAUUCCUGCCGAUUUCCAAGUGAUCUUCUCCACAAUGGUUAUGGACUUCUAAAAUGAAGCCUUAGUUCUUUUCAAUCCUAAAAUCAACGAUGCAUGAGUUGAUUUUACUUUUAUUUUUUGGCCCAGAUUUCCAUUUUGGUAGUUAUUAAAACUAGACAAUGGGAGAGGUUGAGGUGAACUUGUCAUUCUCCCACAACUUUGUGAGCCUUGAGAACAGGAGGAACCUAGUCCUAAUGUUCCUGCAAGAUUUAUAUUCCCAGCCCUGGUGUCUUGCCAUGUGAACAAUUCCUGAGAAAGGUUUAGUCUUAACAGGGAAGGUUAUAUCCUUUUACUUUUCUAUUUUUUGGUAGUAAUUUUUCCAUGUCAAUUAGUCAAGCAUUUGAGCUUAUGGCGGAUUUAUGCGUGAGACUAGCAUGAAGCCCUACUCUAUACCAUUGUCCUGUAGAAUUUCUGUUUUUGUAUUGUUGAUUGGGAUCAUGUUUAUGAAAUUGGUUCCUUUUUCUGCAGCAACGGUCACAAGUUCCAAAGUUUGGCAAUUGGGAAAGCGAGGAAGAUGUGCCUUACACUGUCUACUUUGAUAAUGCCAGGAAGGGCAAGAAAGGUAGCAAAAUGAAUACAAAUGAUCCGCAAGAGGAUCUGGAUGCUGAAACAAAGGGCCAAAAAAGACCAGAGGCAACCAGGGCAAAGCAUGUGCGACGCACUAGCCGAGAAGAUGGUGACCUGAGGAAAUCAAUCGACUCUCCCUUGCACUCUGAUGCCAUGAGUCAGAAAUCUGCAAAUGAAUCACCUCAUCAUAAGCAAGGUGGUUUAAAACAUGGGAGUAGAAAACCAGAGUCAGAAGGAUCGAAGGGAACUGACACAGUAAGACCAAGGCAUGAAAGUCGAGAAGAAGGUGAUUUGAGGAGGCCAACUGAUUCUCCAUUGCGGAAUGAGACCGGAAACCGUAGAACUAGUCAUGAUUCUCCACAUCAUCGUCAUGGUGGCCUGAGUGCUGGUGAAACACCUAAGAGGGUUGCUAGGCAAAGUGUGGGGUCUGAUCGCAGCAUUGACCAGUCUCCGCUACAUCCACACUCUCAGGUAAGGACUGGUGGCAGAGGCAGUGGAGUUUCUUCUCCAUCUUGGGAAAGAAAAGGCUCCUCAGAAGGUGGCCUUGGUUUGGCUCCUUCCACUCCUGGCGGAUCGCGGUUAAAAUCAGUAACACGAGGCGAUGAAACUGUAUGCCAUUCUUAAACUUUCUGUGGUAACAUCUCUGAAAAUGAUCAUGCAUACCGACACACACUUUCAUCCUAUUUUUUUUUGCAACUUACAGUUGUUUCUGGGAACGAAAGUUUAGUCUUACCAUGUUUUCAGCAAUCAAAUACUGAUUCUUGGAGGUAGCUGGAUGGUAGAGAAAAUCUUGGAAUUUAGACUAAUCCGCCUAGUUACACUGUGUAUUCUUUUCCAUGUUAACAAUUUAACAGCAUUACGCUUCUAUCAAAUAUUAUUGUCUUGAGUGAACCUUUUUGGCAUUUUAUUUGCUAUGGUUUCUUCCCCAGGUUUAGUUCUGUUUCUCUAUCAGUCAAUUUUUUCUCUCUUCUUAACUCUCGGGUUGAUGUGGCAGCCUGAUCACAGCCCUGCUGUUCCCAAAUUCGGCGAUUGGGAUGAGACUGAUCCUGCAUCAGCAGAAGGAUACACUCACAUAUUUAACAAAGUGCGAGAGGAGAGACACAGUGGAGCUGGAAAAGUACCUGGUAUGCCAACAGAAUCAUCUUACUCCAAUGGUCAGAAACCAAUUGGAAAUGACAAUUCGAAGGUAGUUGAAGCCUUCUGAUCACCGUCUUGUUGCAGCAUUGCUAUGUUUGAAACCCUUAAUUUUCAUUCUUACUUCUUUCUGAAUCAUUAAUCAGCAUCUAUUUUCUUUUCAUCUCUUUCCUUUCAGUGCUGCUGGUGCUUCCCAUGUGGCAGAUGAUUGUACAUGGCUGAACACGAAGCAAAGUUGGAAUGUAUACUAUGUAUAACUUGGAAUCAUGUAUAGAGUUUUAGCAAGUAUUUUGGCGUGUGUAAUGUAGUCCUGCAAGGAAAAUUGAAUUUUGAUACUCAGUAGAUUUUCUAGCAUUUCUCCUAUCAACUCAAUUGUAUUUAUGAUCUUGCUAUGAUCAAUUGAAUCCUGGCAAGGUAAUUUCAUAUUUAUGUUUAUAUUGUUCCAUUUAGUCAAAUUGUUCUUUGUCUCAUACUGUUCUGAGAAGGGAUCAUCCGAUUGAUGAUUUAAACUUUUACAAGGGAACAAAAUGUGGAUUCGGGACCGAAACAAUUUUCAAUCAAAUUGCUCGAAACGAUAUUCAAUGUCGUCAAUAAAUUGGAAUUCAGCAUAUACAACUUGUAAAACUUAUAGCACAAUGUAUUGUUCAUGAUGAAUAACAUAUGCACAUGGAUCUGAUUUUUACACCAACUUUUAUUUGCAAGUGAUUCUUUCCUCAACGAGUAAUUUAACUACGCUAGAACUGUUUUUUUUUUUUUUAACCUCCCAUAGUAAAGUAACUUUGAUCAACUAUCUCAAUAUUGGUAUGAGCCUUCAGAAGUAAUCUACUUGGAGAAAAAGAUUUAUCUAGACUAGAAAAUUGGACUUAUAAAUUUACGGGUGAUAAGGAACCGAGUUUAAAGGUAUUUACCUGAAAGCAAACUCGAUGAAUCCCAUGUUCAAGUACUUGAAAUCGACUUAAUCAAUUGUUAGGUGGUCAACCUACCUCGAAAAAGCAAAUUGAGCUCGUACUCGAGACAAGCUCGAGUUUCUAGUACAGACUAUAUAAGAGAUUCACUAAUUUUAUCAUUAUAAAAAAACAAUGUAUAUAUAUAUAAAUCUCGAAAAUUUCGAUCAUUUUUUCAAAUCAAGUACCUUAAUGCUCAAAUGUUCAGAAAAGAUUCAAACAAUUCGAGCUCAAGCUAAGCAUUUUGACCAACUGCUCGUGGCAAAUUCGAUAGGUUGUCACCUUCACUUAUAAAUUUACGCAUCUUGACUUGUCCGAAUUCAAAUUCUUUUUGUAAGAACAUAGUUCAUUGUGACAAAUAAAAUUAUUUGAAAUUGGGCUAAUAUGAGUAAAUGAAGAACAAAAAUUUCGACGCAUAAAAGAGUUUAUUAUUAUUUUUUGUAUAUUAUUGUAUUAGUAUCUAUAUUUAUUGUAUUAGUAUUUACUAAUACUUAUAAUCUAAUUAAUUAAGGUAAAAGAAUAACCAUAUGAAUAUGAAAGUUUGCUUAAUUUGAGUCUAAAAGAAAUGAUAACGUUUGAUGAAAUGCGGAAUUAGCGUCCAAUACAUCCUCACCCAGCUUUAGUCUGCCACGCCUUGUUUCAGUUUGCGCGCUUGAAUUCAAGAAUAGUAGUAAUAAUACCAUUAGGUAUCAGCAACAGAAGUGGGUUUUUCAGGAAUCUCUGGAACGGAUGAGUACCCAGCUCACUGGUCUCUGGCCCAACUUUCCGGCUACCAAGCUCAGCGGCGGACAGAGUCUUCCUAGCAGAAUCUACUCACCACCUUCCACCAUAUGCGCCGCUCAUCCUCUUCCCUCUUCGUCUUCUAUUCAGGCAAGGCUAUGUUUUUGCAUGACCCUUGUGUUCUGCUUUGUUUUCUGGUUGUCUUCUUUCUUCUGUAUGGGCUUAUGGCUAAUUUUGCUUAACGUAGUUUAUUCAUGGCCGUCCGGCCUUUUUUGGGGAAAAGACAAUGUUUUUAUGAAUGUAAUUUCUGGAUUAUAUUUACUUUUUUAGGAUUAAUGCAUCUUGUGCAGUAAGUUUAUAUACUAGUCUGGGAUGUUGAAGUUUUGUGAAAACUGAAACAUGGUUACGUUUAGUGCAAAUUGGGGAGAAGUUAAUGAUCAAAAUUAGUACUUGACAAAGUGCUUACCAAUGAUCAGCAGCUUGAUGGCAUGAGAUCACUUGAUAUAGCUUAUCUGAUUUAGUUCACAGAAAUUUUAGCAAGAGUAGUUCCCAAAUGCAACCUUACAAGCUGCUUUAGGUGCAAUGACCCUGAAAGGGAAAAUCAACCAAUGAAAUGAUGUAACCAUUUAUCCAUUACCUCUGAGAAACUGAUUCAAUUGUGGAAAAAUUGCAAAAUGGGUGCCUUGUAGCUUCUUUGUGGUUAUAUAAGCAAAUUAAAACGUGUUUGGUGUUUUCCGUACCCCAUUUUGGUAAUGCUGGCUUUCUGAGAGUGCUAAAUGUUGUGGUAUUUCUUAUAGAUUGCCUGCAUAGUGAUCUUUAUUUGUGGUUUAUGUUGUGUUUGUAAAAAAAAAAAAACUUUGCAGAUUGUUGGUGGAAAAGCUUUGGGAUGGCAGACAAAUGGGAAUUCAAAACCGAGUACAAAUUUAGGGAGAACUGAAGCAGAAAAUGACUGGGAUGAUUUGGAAACUGAUCUAUAUCACUGGACAAAGACAUUACGCUCUAUUCAGGUAUCAUAGUGUGAACUUGAGUGAUGUUCUUCAAAGAUAAACUAGAUUAACGCUUUGUUGUGUUUACAUUUUCUGCUUUAGCUUUUACCUGAACUGGAAAAGGUCUACGAGGUUUUUAUUUACACAUGCUAACGAUCAAAUAGUGGUUUCCUGGGCACAUUUCAAAAACUGAAAAAGAACUCAAGGAGCAACUGAAACUGAUGGAUGUUGUUAUAGAGGUUCGAGAUGCAAGGAUUCCAAUGUCGACUGGCCAUCCGCAGGUUAGUUUUCUGUUACUUAACCUAUCAUGUUGAACUUGUCAAAGCUAUGGUCCUCUGUGCGCAUCAUAAUGCCUUGGGAAUGUGUUGUGUUGACUUGCCAUUUUGCAGUGCACGUGUUCCUGGCAGCAAGAAGCUUUUUAGCAUCUUUGAAAACCUUAGACUGUAAAUUUACACAUUCAUUUGCAUGUUCUGCAUUAUUGUAAUCCUCCGUCACUGUCUAAGUGACAUUGAGAUUGGAGAUUAUGAGUGGCAUAUGUGAGCGGUCUCCCAAUUUUCUUUUUGAUCAUAAGUGCCUAAGCUGCUGCUGUCCAUCUUGCUGGUUUUGCCUUUUUAAAGUGAAGUAUGAUUCACAUUAUGGCCAUUAACUUGGUGGGAAGCACUCUUAUCAGUAUAAAGGCAUCUUUAGUGUUCAUGAUAAGUUGUGAAAACUUCAUUUGAGGAUAUCAAAAGGACCCUUUUCCACUGAAGAAAGAUAAGAAAAAGAACCACAGGCCACUUUAGCGUUUUGUCAAACAAUCAAUUUAUGUGUGCAGUAAGUUUCAUCCCAGUGUUCAAGGUUGUUCGUGCCUUAAAAGUGAAGACUAUAUCAUCUCCUACUCAUUUUCAAGGAGAAGCAAAUUACCUGAGGUUUUUUGGGAGUUUAUCUCCCCUCUGAAGAAGCACAUCUCCUUUAUCUGCUUUUUGUGCACGGAAUUUUUAAGUUUGUGGCAUCCAAUUUAAAAUCUUUUUUGCAAUUUGUUGGCCUUUGAAUGAGCAGAUGGAUGCAUGGCUUGGCAAUCGGAAAAGAAUCUUGGUUUUAAAUCGAGAGGACAUGAUAUCCACUGCAGAUAGGAAUGCUUGGGCAAAUUAUUAUGCUAGACAAGGUGUAAAAGUGAUCUUUUCCAAUGGGCAGCUGGGGAUGGUAAUCCAGGAUACAUUUUCUGUUGGUUUUGUAUCCCAUUUUUUGCAAAGGGAAAUAGGAUACUGACUCUCUGCUGCAAACUGCAGGGUACCAUGAAGCUAGGUAGGUUGGCAAAGGAAUUAGCAGGUGGUGUGAACAUGAAACGCAGAGCAAAAGGACUGCUCCCUCGUCCAGUGAGUUCUUGAGACUGCAUAUGAUAGUAUGAUACUACUUACUUUUGUUGGUAAAGUUUUGGUGGAUUUAUCCAUGUCCUCUUGUUAGAUGCUGUAAAUGAAUGGUCAACAUGGAACAAGUCAUCUUCAAGUUAUCCUUUGAACUCAUUCUGAUAGACUUUGUUUCUGUCUUGACAGACUCCAACAAAAAUGGCUGUUUUUAAAUGUCUUCUUGUCAGCUUUUUUACUUUUCCAAGUCUACUAUAAUAUACAACAUCCUUCAGUUCUUCCAUUAUGAUAAAAAGCAACUGACAACGAAAAGAUAUUUCAACCUGUAGUAUUCUCUGUAGACAGCAAAUACUUUUAAAACUUUAUUAAAUUAGGGAAAUCAGGCAGAUUGUUCCUCCUCCUGUUCUUGUAUACUGAGGCAGUUCAUGUAAAUGUGUAAUGACUAGGUAUCUUAAUUAUCAAAUUCUGCAGUUUUAGGAGAUCGUAGCGCUAAUUUUCAACGUUUUAUGAUUAAUAUAAAUCUUAUUCUGUCAUUUGCUUACGGUUAGAUCUUCCUAUGAGAGAAAUUCAUAAUUCCUUAUACAGGUUCGAGCUGGAGUAGUUGGAUACCCUAAUGUUGGUAAAUCAUCCUUAAUAAAUCGCUUGCUAAAGCGUCGAAUGUGCCCAGCUGCUCCAAGACCUGGUGUUACUAGAGAACUGAAGUAUGCCUAUCUCUUGUUUUCUGAUAUCUACCUCAUAUGUAGAAUGAAAACAAUAUCCCUAGUCUCGCUAAAAACAUGUAGGUAUCAUAUGAUGUAGACAUACAUCUAAGUAGGACUGUAAGAAAUUUAUGCAUGCGUUGCAAAUUCCAAGUAUCAGAUUUAUAAUAAAGCUGAGUGGCUUUUUGUCCAUGGAAAGGUACAAGUCAGUUCUAAUACAUCAAUAUAGCUUUAUAGUGUUUUAUGCCAGAUUUUCUGGAGAACAGGGCUGACGCAUUUUUUUCCUUUUGAACUGUUUUUUCCUAUCUUAUUAUCCCUGCCAAAGAUGGGUCCGGUUCGGAAAAGACUUAGAAAUGCUUGAUUCACCUGGUAUAAUUCCAAUGAGGAUCAGUGAUCAGUCUGCAGCAAUAAAACUCGCCAUAUGUGAUGACAUUGGAGAGAGAUCUUACGAUGCUGCUGAUGUUGCAGCCAUUCUUGUGCAGAUGCUUUCAAGGCUACCAACUGUAGGUCUGUGCACUUCUUGCAUCAACUGAUCCCUAAUUAUGAUGUUGUUUGCCCCCCAUACCGAAAUUUAGUUUGCUUCUGGCUAUGUUUGGAUUUAUGCUUGCAUAAACAAAUCUCCUCAUAGAUAUUAGCAUCAUUCCUGAUGUUAGGCAUUGCCUUACCUUGUUUUUGCUAGGUAUGACAGCUCUGCAUGGCCGCUACAAGAUUGAGGCAGAUGGUAGCUGUGGUAGAGGGUAAGUUUAUGGCCUGCGUAGCUAAAUGCCUAUCAUGUUACACUUUGACAGAUUCAUAGCUGAGGCAGGAUGCCCAAAUCAAAUUAUUUACACUUGUUAGGCCUUUUAGAGCUGGAUUUGACACCUUAAUCCUGCUUUGUCCUUACUUGAUUUCUAACUUCUGAUUUUCUUUUCCAUAAUGCAGCUUUGUUCAGAAGCUUGCGAAUCAUUUAUUCAACGGUGACACGCAUCAUGCUGCAUUUCGUAUUCUGUCAGAUUUUCGAAAGGGAAAGUUUGGCUGGAUAGCUUUGGAGAGACCUCCACAAUAGGACGUGGAUCAUGCUUUAUCGGCACUGUGCUUUACUUGAUCUGGUGCCCUACAUGUAACAUAAGGAGCUGAAGCAGUUUGUCUAUUUUCAAGCUACUCAAAUCAUAAACCGCAUUUUAGCUGUGCUUUUAUGAUUUGAGUAGCUUGAAAAUAGACAAACUGCUUCAGCUUCUUAUGUUACAGUGCUGUUAAAGUGUUGAUACCUCUUUUCGCCUUGUAAUUUAACAGCACUGUAACAUACCUCGUUAUACUGACUUUCCUCAUUGUGAAUGACCGUAAAACUGAGAAUGACUGCCACAGUGCAAUAUUACCAGUAUGUACCAAUUCCCUUUUUCCUCAAAAAUGAGAAGAAAAUAUAAUUGAAGCAUGAUGUAUCUUCUUUGUGUUUGCAAUUUCCUCCUGAUUGCAUGGACUUGCACCCUUUCAUAGCAUAGAUUCCUCUGUCCGUGCAUCUUUGCUGUCAGUCUAUGACUAAUUUCUCCUUCAUUUGUGGGAAAAUGUUGCUUGCCGAUGGGUAGACAAAAGGUUCUUUAAACCUUGAUUCCCAUCAAUAUAGCAAAGUUGAAAAAAAUGUUGCUACAAGUUGUACGUCAUGGUACAACUUGUACUGGUGACCAAACAUGGUACAGAAAAGAUUAGGUAACAGUUUGGAUACGUCAUGUUUGACAUGGAAUUGCAAAAUCCCUACUUUGACCGUUGAAGAGAGAACAGAGUAUUUCCUGAGGAACAUCAUUGCCUAUGAGCAGUAGCAUGGGGCUGAUUUUUUUUUUUUUUUUUCGUAACACUAGAAUUUUUAUAAUCUAAUCUAGCCUAAUCUAAGGGAGAGGGCGAGAGGGACUGGAUGUGAGUAGAGGCUCUAUCGAAAAUAGCCAAUUAAGACCCGCAUAUAUUGUGGCAAUUUUUUUUGGUAGAAGGCAAUAGUCAAACUCUUGACCUCCCAUAUCACCAAAGGCUUAAAAGUCUUGGUGGUGACCACCGAGCCAAAGGCCCAAUGGCAGUAGCAUGGGGCUGAUCAAUUCACGGUUUUGACUGAUUUUUUGUUUUGUAAAAGAUUAUUUACGAGUCUUUUAGAUUUUUUAAGUGCCAAAAAAGUUAUCUCCAAUGCGAAUUCAAGAGACUUGUACUAUUGCUAAUGCAAUCGUAGAGUACCGUUGAUGGUUCAGAUCGAAUCACAUCAAGUUAGUCCGAUCUGAACGAUUUAUUUUAAUUUCUUUUUUAUUUUGGAAUAAAUAGUCCAAAACGAAAAUAGUUAAUAUAACUCCAUCUAAGCUAUUAAGGGUAUUAUGAGUCCAAUCAGCCAACCACACGUACCUCUCAUCCCUCCAACAUUUGACAAAAUAAACAAAGUAGAAACUUCAUAGUCUUAUAAAUUGAUGGAUGGAUACUGCUUACUUUCUUACAAACUUGUACUAUUUCAUAUUUUUCCUUGCAAGAGCCAUUAGUUUACAAGCAAAAAUACAAUUGCUCUGUUUGGAUUGUAAAUUAUUUGAGAUCUUUUUACUGUAACAUUUUUUAUGAUGUGAUGUAUGUGAGAUAAAAAGGUAAUUGAGAAGAUAAAAAGGUGUGUUGAAAAUUGUAAUGAUGAUGUAAGCAAAUAAAUUUUGACAAAUAAUCCUCUAUCCAUGGCUCAAGAGGAAAUGAGUUUUUGCAGGUAAAAAAAAAAAAGAAAAAAGAAAUAACUACGUUGGUAAAUGAUUGCAUAAUAUUAAAGUACUCAUCAACAACGAGAAACUAGAAAUUUUUCUUAUGUAUUUCAUAUAAAAUCCUUUUGAACCUUGUGGUUAUUUCUUUCUAUCACAACGGGAAAUGCUAUUGCUUUUCUCUUUUAUCCACAUGGACAAGGCAGAAGUAACUGCAAAUUAAAAAGGUAAAUGCAGUCUAUAUCUCCUCUAUCAGAACCCAAGUAUAUUUUGUACUAAUGCUUUCUUAAAACUGAGAGUUCAAAGUCAUAUAUCUAUCUAAUUAAUGUUUUGUGUCAAAUUAGCACCACUAUUUGGUUAUAAGGACCCAUUGAUUUCUAAUGGAACUUCUAAGGACUGAAUUGACUCAACAUUUUUUUUUAGGGUAAGUGGGAGAUUUUGAACUCAAGAUUUUCUAUAUACAAUCUCUCCUAUUUUAUCAUCCAAUCCAACCUUCCUCCAACUGACUCAAAAUUUAAACGAUAAAAGAUUGAAAAAAAAUUUUAAAAUGACUGAAAAAGAAAUUUGUGUAAAAGUUAAAGGACUCUUGUCAUAAUUCAUCUUAAUAAUUUUUUUUUUUAAUUUUGAUAAUGAAGUUAAGAUUUUGGCAAACUCAACUUAGAAAUGAAGUUAACAUUUUUACAUAUGCUUGAUUUUGAUCGUGAUUUGAAGGCCUACAAAAAAAAAAAAAAAUCAAUAUAAGCAACAAGACUUUCGAGAUUGAAUGAAACCACAAGAAGACAAAAUAAAUCCCGAGAUCAGAAGACGAAAUAGAGCAAAGAGAACUAGAGGAUUUUUAUUAUCUCUUUUCUUUCUUUCUUAUACCGAUAGACCAAGACCUAUGGUCUUUAUAUAGCCUACCAAAUACCAAAAUUUAAUUGGGAUUUAAACUAUCAAGUCAUACUAAGAAUAGAAAAUCACAACUAAAUAAUAAACUAAAUCUUAAACAGACUUGGUUUAAUAAUCCUAUAUUGUCUCUCUUAAACCAAUGUCUUUAAAUCGCAUCAUACCAAGCAUUUUUUUCAACUUGAGAAAUAGCUCCUCCUUCAAUGGUUUUAUGAAAAUAUCCGCCACUUGAUCUUGAUUCUUACAUUAGUCAGUGGCAAUUUCCUGAUUUUGAACUAGUUCACAAAUGAAGCGAAACUUUAUAUCAAUAUGCUUGCUUCUUCCGUGAAAUGAUGGAUUCUUUGACAGCUCAAUAUCAGAUUUGCUAUCACAAGAUUUUGGUAGGAUCAACUUGUACAUGCCGUAGAAAAUCAAGUAUUCUUUUCAACCAUAAUGCUUGAGAAAUACUAUGUGUAGCUGCCAUAUACUCUGCUUCUGCUGUAGAUAAUGCCACCACUUCUUGUUUUUUAGAAAACCAUGAAAAUACAACACUGCCUAAAUAAAAGUUAUAGUUUGAUGUACUUCUCCUUUGAAUCAUGUCAGCAGCCCAAUCACGGUCUGUAAAGCCUAUAAGAUUAGAAUUGUUAGUAUAUAGAUAAAAGAUACUAUUAGAUUGUGUAGCUCUAAUGUAUCUUAAAAUCCUUUUGGCUGCCUGCUAAUGUGAUUGGCAUGGAGACUCCAUAAACCUGCUAAUUAACCCAAUACCAAAAGUAAUGUUAGACCUUGUAGACGUCAAGUAUGUUAGACUUCUAACCAAUCUGCUAAAAUUAGUGGCAUCAACAAAUUCACCACUGUUAUCUUUCUUCAAUUCAACUUCUCUUCAACUGGAGUCAACAUAGGUUUGGCAGUAUCCAUCUUAAACUUUUUCAAUAUGUCUAUGCAUAUUUCUUUUGUGUAAUAAAUAUGCCAUGAUCUAUUUGAGAAAUCUCAAUUCCAAGAAAAUAUGACAUUAAUCCCAGGUCAAUCAUCUCAAAAUGAUGAAUCAUAGCCUCUGCUAAAAUUAGUGGCAUCAACAAAUUCACCACCGCCAUCUUUCUUCAAUUUCAACUUCUGUCAACAUAGGUUUGGCAAUAUCCAUCUUAAACCUUUUCAAUAUGUCAUAUACAUAUUUCUGCUGUGUAAUAAAUAUGCCAUGAUCUGUUUAAGAACCUCAAUGCCAAGAAAAUAUGACAUUUAUCCAGGGUCAGUCAUCUCAAAAUAACUAAUCAUAGCCUUCCUGAAUUCAGAAAUUACUCAGGGAUUAUUGUCAAUAAAAAUUAGAUCAACCAUCUAUAAGCAUACAAUAAGAAUAUCACCACCAGAAUUAGAUUUGAUAUACAAAGUAUGCUUAUAUGGACAUCUAUGGAAACCAUUCCCAAUAAAGUAAGAGUCUAUACGAGUAUACCAAACUCGAGGAACUUGUAUCAAACCAUAUAAAGUCUUCUUUAACAUGUAGACUUUAUUUUCUUGGCCUUUCUUUAUGUAACUUGCAGGUUGCUCAACAAAUACUUCCUCUUCAAGAAUUUCAUUCAAGAAAACAAAUUUCACAUUCAUUUGAUAAAUCUUUCAAGAAUUAUUUACAGCAAUAGAUAUAAUCAUGUGAACAAUAUCAAGUCUGGCAACUAGAACAAAAACUUCAAAAUAAUUAAUACUUGUCUUUUGCCAAUGUUUUCAGAACCGGACCAAACUGGCCGGUUCGACCGUGAAUCGGACAUGUCACCAGUCCGGUCCAGUAUCAAACCCGGAAGUUAAUGAAAAACCGCUAGAAGCAGGACGAACCAUUAAAACCCGUAUAAACUGUAACCAGCGGCUCUUAAAUUUUCAAGUUCAUUACCUCAAAUUCAAAACAAUAGCAAGAAUGAAGGCUACUAGGAUUCGAACUCGGGUCUCCGUGGCCAUAAAAAAGUAUUCUUACCACUAAACCACAGCCAGAGGACAAACUCUUGUUGUGAAGAAUUUUACUUAACUUAAAUAAAAAACUAAAAUUAGAUUAAAUAAAAGAAACCCUAGCAUUAAGAAAAGACACAGCAGAGUGCAAACGGCACAUUUCACUUCCUCGACUUCACUUUAGACUUCCUCGGCUUCUCUAGUUCUCUUCUUGAUUUUUUUUUAUUUUUCCUUCGUAACCCUUCCACAUCCAAAUAUCCAUGACAAGAUCAUCAUGCUAUUAUCUUUAGACGAUCUAUAGGCAAGUUGGAAUUUGGAAACUUCAACUUUCACAAGAUAUCCGAAACUCCAGAGCUUUUCCAUCUUGGUUAGUUUAACUUUUCCCUUUUGAAAAUUUUUGUUUUCUAUAUUAUCUUUAGUGGAUUUUUUCAUAUUUUCUUCUUUUUCCCCCCAAUUUUCAUCUGUUUCCUUAUCCCUAAUUGAAGUUUUAUUUUUGUUUUAUUAGUUAAGAAUGAAACUAUGAAUCAUGAAUUAUUUUGUAGUCAUGUUUGGAGAAGCUAUUUUUUGGAUAAAGUAUCAAAUUAAUAAAAUUAGACAUGUUUGGUUUCUAACUUUUGUAUUUUUUGGAAUUAAUCUUUGGUUCCUUUGAUAAAAUUAAUAAAAUUAGAAAUGUUGGGAAUUAAUAAAAAUUUUGUUUUAAAUUUUGUAUUUUUCAGAAUUAGCGAAGCCCGGAUGUCUAUUUUUUGUUCCUUUGAUGUUGUUUGUUUGCAUGUAUCAUUUGUAUGCUAUGAACUCCAUCUUCUGUGUUUUCUAUGUCACUGAAGUAAUUAAUCUACCGAGUGCUCAUUCAUCUUGAAUUUUAUAGGUUUCACUGAAGCAACAAAAAUAAGGACAUGUUUUUGCUUGUUCAUUAUCUUUUGCAGCUAGUAAUUAAAGUCUACUUCUUCUUUAAGGAUGUAGUUUUAAUAGUAAAAACUCUUUACUUUUGGUUUGUUGGUGUACAUGCUUGGCCAUCUAACGAGCUGCAUUUUUAGUUUGAGCACAUGGAUACAAAUACUUGUCUAUUAGUCUAGUAAAGGGACAACGAUCCUUUUGUGCUAGUGCUAAUAAUGUAUAUUCUUUUUAGCUUCACAUAAACAAAUGUUUUGAUUGACGACUAUAUUGGCAUUGCUUUGAGCAAAUUUAGACUCACAUACAUUGGUUGAAAAAAUACAGCUUUGCAUAAUGAUUGGUAAUAUAACAUGUCAAUUAGUGAUGUUUAGUAGUAAUUAAUUUUUUAUGUGUUUAGUUGUAUCUUUGUUUUUCAAAAUUUUUUGGCUUUUUUUUGAGUUAGAGCAAUUAGAUUUAUAUUUUUGUAAUAAACUUUUAACUUUUUCAGGUUAAGUUGAUGAAAUUGUGAAGAUGGUGUUGUUGUCUAUCAUGCCACCGAUGGAAGUUUGUUAUUGAAAUUGUUUGUUUUAAAUAUGAGUUGGACUCUUUUAUUGACUUUUUUAGGAUUGCAAAAGAAUGUCAACAUUUAUUUUAUUUAUUUUUGUAUUUUUAUUUGUGAUAAUUGGUGAGCAUUUGGAUUAUAUCUAUUUAUGUUUGUAAUGAAUAUAUAAAAACUUGUGGUGAAUUAUGAUAUUUUAGUUGUUUUUAUCAUUCCAGGUUUUAUGUAUAACUUUUAGGAAAUUUAUUAUUAUCCCAACUUAAAUUUAGUUAUGUUGGUGAAUUCAUUUUAGGGACUUAAUUUGUCAAUAACCAUGUUAGAUCGUCAUUAGCCAUCAAGUUCAAGUAUAGAGUGAAGGCCUAUGAAGUACUUAGCACUAAAGUUGAAAAAAAAAACCAGUAAACCGGCUGGUCGGACCGGUUGGACCGAUCGUACCGCCAACCAACCCCCUCUCCGGUUCGCUGGCUGGUCCGAGUUUAAAAACAUUGCCUUUUGCUUAUAUGUUUUAACCACCAAUCUUGCUUUGCAACGAUCUACUUCUCCAGUUGACUUGUACUUGGUCUUGUAGACCCACUUGAUACCAAUUGACUUCUUCCCAUAUAGAAGUGUAGUCAGCUCUCAUGUCUUAUUGUUCUCAAUUGAUGUAUUUUCUCGUCCAUUGCUUGAUUCCAGUGAUCAUCUUUGACGGCCUCCUCAAAGGUAACUGAAUCACAAUCUGCAAAUAAAACAAAGUUUACAAUAUUUUUAUCAGACAAUUCAUUAUCGUUACCAACAACAUAAUCCUCCAAGCAAGCUAGCAUGCGGCGUUCUUGUUACGGACAACUGGAUGACUGCAUAGGAUUUGAUUGCAUCCUGGAAGAUGAAGAAUCACUAGUAUGUUGUCUGGACUGGUCUACUGGCUGAUUAGAAGAAUUCCCUCCAUCCAAGUAAAACGGCAUUGGUGGAUUCUUUGGUGCAGAAUCUAUAACUUUCUUAGAUCAAUCCAAAACGUCUUGCUCAUCAAAUGUGACAUAUCUACUAAUAAUCAUCCUUCCUGUAUUUGGGUUGAACAGUUUGUAAUCUUUGGUUUCAUGACUAUAAUCAAGAAAAAUGCAUUUUUUUGCUUUCUCAUCUAUUUUUUUCUAAUAACAUCUGGAACAUGGGAAUAGGCAAGACAAUCAAAUAAUUUUAAAUGAGAAAUAUUUUGUUUCUUACAAGUCCAUAACUCCUGUGGUGUCUUCCUAAAAUUGCAUCACGUAUGAGACAUGUUAGAAAUAUAUACAACACAAGCAACUGCUUCUGUCCAAAAACCUUUAGGCAUGUUCUUGGCAUGUAUCGUUGAUCUCACCAUAUCCAUUAUAGUUCAAUGUUUCCUCUCUGCUAUUCCAUUAUGUUGAGGAGUGUAUCUGAUUGUCAACUGAUGUUUAAUUCUAUGUUUCUUCAGAAAAUCAACACAGACAGUAAACUCAGUGCCUCUGUCAGUUCUCAAAAAUUUAAUAAAUUGGUCAUUUUACUUCUCAACAUAUACUUUAAAACUCUUAAAAAUAUCACAAGUUUUAGAUGUAUUCUUCAAAAAAUAUACCCAAAUUUUACUGCUAAAAUCAUCAGUGAAGGUAAUAAAAUAGUUACUACCUCCAUUGGAAGAUACCUCAACUAAGCACAGGUCUGAAUGUAUCAAUUCCAACAGAUGACUAGCCUUUCAAACCUUGCCUUUAGAAUAGAUCUUUGUGUUUCUUUCCCAAAAUAUAAGACUCACAGUACUGUGUAGAAAAAUCAAAUAGCAGACAGUCCAUACACCAUUUUUUUUUUGGCAAGAAAAUUCAAACUCCCAAAAUUCUUGUGACCAAAACGUAUAUGCCACAGCCAAAUAUCAUAAAAAACAAUAGAACUAAAUCAAGGUAAAUCAUGACAAUUAAGAGUGAUAGGCCAUAAGCAGCUAGAGUUCAUGUAUACCUUUGCUAUUAGUCCCAAACGAUCAUCACUAAUAGUACCAAUGCCGUAUUUGAAUCGCAAAGCAUAUCCUUUCUCAAUAAGUUGCCCAAGACUCAGUUAUGAUAAAGGCUUGGCACAUAGAAGACAUCAGAGAUAAAAUCAGAUUUUUCAUUCUUCAAAAUAAUUCUGAUUUUUCCUUUUCCAAGCACAAUCACUCUUUCAUUUUUGUCAAACUUAACAAAAGAUAUAAAAAAUUCAUCCAAAUUAGCAAACAUAUUUUUGGCAUCACACAUAUGAUUCCUGCAACCAGAAUCCAAAACCAAUUUUUCUUUUUAUUUUCUUCCACCCUUAAGUUAGAGAAUAAAAUAGUUUCAACCUUUGCACCAUUAUUCUCUACCAUAUUAGUAUGCUCACCUUUAUUAUCAGAAUCAUACCAGCACUCACUUUUAUAAUGAACCAUUUUUUUACAAUUAUGGCACUGAAUAUUAUGUCUGCGAGAAUUAUUAUUUUCUAACUCAAUAUUGGGAUAAUUAUUGUUACCUUUCUGUUGGUAAAAAUUACCUCUACCACAACUUCUAAAACUGCCUCUACCACGGACUUGUUCUCUUCCUCUGAAAUUUUGAUUUUUCUAACCGGAGCCAUCACCCUUCUCCUUGGGUUUAUCUAUCUGCACCUGCAAUACUUUCUCCACCAUUUCUUUUUCUAUACCAUCUUCCAAUUUUUCAUUAAUUCUCUAUUCAUGAAGAGUUAACGAAUCCUGCAAUUCUUCAAUGGUCAUAGUUGAGAGAUCUUUUGUCUUUUGAAUCACAGCAACCACAUGAUCAAAUUUCAUGGGUAAAGUAUUGAGGGUUUUUUCUACUAGCACCUCAUCAUUGAGAUCAUAACCAUUGUGUUUGAUCUCAUUUUUUAUGUCAAUCAGUCUGAAAAAAUAUAAUUCAACGGUCUCUGAUUUUUUCGUGGUGAUCAACUCAAAUUUUCUUUUCAACAUCAGUAGAUUAUUUUUCUGAACUCUGUCAACUCCUUGUAUAUUUUCGCCAAAAUAUCCCAUGCUUGUUUUACAGUUUUGGCAUUCGCAAUUUUUUCAAAAAUCAAACAUCAAUUGCCUGAUGGAUUUGAGACAACGCCAUACUUCCUUUUCUCUUGACAUUUUCUUCUUCAUCUACAGUAAUUUCUUACUGAACAAAUCAAAACAAAUUAUAUGCGUCAAGAUGAGUUUCCAUCUGCAUUCUCCAAAAACAGUAAUCUUUUUUUCCGGUGAGUUUUGGUACUGCACAGAUAAUAUUACUUGACACAGUUGAUGCAAACAUGUCUUACAAUAAAAGUGGAUCUAAUACCACUAUGAAGGCUUACAAAAACAAUCAAUAUAAGUCACACAACUUUCACGAUUGAAUGAAACCACAAGAAGACAAAAUAAAUCCCGAAGCUUGAAUCUUUUCUUUCUUUCUUACACUGAUGGACCAAAACCUAUGGUCUUUAUAUAAACUACCAAAUACCAAAAUCCAAUUGAGAUUUAAAUUACCAAAUCAUACUAAGAAUAGAAAAUCACAACUAAACAAUAAACUAAAUCCUAGACAGACUUGGUUUAAUAAUCCUACAUGAUUCAAUCUCAAUCUGUUGAGCAAUGGAUCUGGUACCAAAUGCCAAUUGAAACUAACAAGAAGGUUGUUGAGAAUUGGGACAGGAGUCCCACACAGCAAAUUGACGGAACAACCAAAGAAAUAGUUUCUUUCCUGCAGCCAC